CAGUAGCCGCGGGAAUACGAAGGGGGCUAGCGUUGCUCGGAAUGACUGGGCGUAAAGGGCGCGUAGGCGGAUUGUUUAGUUAGGCGUGAAAUUCCUGGGCUUAACCUGGGGACUGCGCUUAAUACAGGCAGUCUAGAGUGAGGAAGAGGGUUGUGGAAUUCCCAGUGUAGAGGUGAAAUUCGUAGAUAUUGGGAAGAACACCGGUGGCGAAGGCGGCAACCUGGUCCUUGACUGACGCUGAGGCGCGAAAGCGUGGGGAGCAAACAGGAUUAGAUACCCCAGUAGUCCCUGUCUCUUAUAC
This 301-nucleotide ribosomal RNA is filed under the name uncultured bacterium. Its description in RNAcentral is "partial 16S ribosomal RNA". It matches the Rfam family "Bacterial small subunit ribosomal RNA", at positions 509 to 807 of the family's 1533-position model. The record is from RNAcentral.